This 496-nucleotide ribosomal RNA is filed under the name uncultured bacterium. Its description in RNAcentral is "partial 16S ribosomal RNA". It matches the Rfam family "Bacterial small subunit ribosomal RNA", at positions 28 to 506 of the family's 1533-position model. The record is from RNAcentral.
GAUGAACGCUGGCGGCGUGCCUAAUACAUGCAAGUCGAGCGAACAGACGAGGAGCUUGCUCCUCUGACGUUAGCGGCGGACGGGUGAGUAACACGUGGAUAACCUACCUAUAAGACUGGGAUAACUUCGGGAAACCGGAGCUAAUACCGGAUAAUAUAUUGAACCGCAUGGUUCAAUAGUGAAAGACGGUUUUGCUGUCACUUAUAGAUGGAUCCGCGCCGCAUUAGCUAGUUGGUAAGGUAACGGCUUACCAAGGCAACGAUGCGUAGCCGACCUGAGAGGGUGAUCGGCCACACUGGAACUGAGACACGGUCCAGACUCCUACGGGAGGCAGCAGUAGGGAAUCUUCCGCAAUGGGCGAAAGCUUGACGGAGCAACGCCGCGUGAGUGAUGAAGGUCUUCGGAUCGUAAAACUCUGUUAUUAGGGAAGAACAAAUGUGUAAGUAACUAUGCACGUCUUGACGGUACCUAAUCAGAAAGCCACGGCCAACUACGU